AUUACUCCUACACUUACCUAUCAAAUGACGAAUUUUUCCUUUUUUUUUUUUGAUGAACAAAAAAUGAGGUGGAACAAAUAAAUGUCUCAUGGUGAAAGAUGAGUAUUUGAAGGAAAGCAGAUAUAUUUUAUAAUAGCAAAUCAUUAUAAUUAACUUUUCUUUUUACUCCUGUUCCUAGUUCUUGUAACAUUUUAUAAUUCUAACAUUAAUACAUUUAGUAUACACUGACUUUGUCUUAUACAGAAAAUGUUAUUGGUUACUCUAUAUUCCAUAAAGUCAAUGUUUACAUUCUGAUAUCUUCCUUGAACACAUUUAUGAAUAGCUCUAUCACUAAUAAGCCAUACUCUUCAAUUACCCCUAUAUGUAAUUGUGUUCUAUGCUAUAACUUUUUCUUGAUUAACUUUAUAGAAACUACAUCUUCAAUGAGAUAACUUAAUAUAAUUAUUUUUAUUAAAAUUGGAGUAUGGAUUUAAAAAAAAUUGUGCUUAAAAUUUGUAUAUAUAGUUAACGUGGUAAAACUAUUACUUAUUGAGGCAUAGAACUUCACCUUUUUGCAUUUCAGUUCGCUUUCUGCAGAAACUGAAAAUCUUUUUUUAUUUUUGCUACCGGGCUUCAGAGCCAGUGGGGAGAAAUCACAAGUGGUUUUCUCUUGGCCUUUCAGCCUUCUAGGGGACCUUGCCUCCGCUACAGAAAACUGCAAUGGCCAGAUACUGGAGGUUAAGAGAUUCUAGAACACGAAACAUUUAUAGAAGAUUCAAGCCUCGAGAUGGUUGUAGCCCUGGGAACUCCUGGAGGGAGACAAUUCCACAUGCAUUUAUCAGAUCCUCAGGUGACAUGCAAGGGCCCAAGAUAAAGUCACACACAGGAAUGAAAGCCAGGCCACAGCAGUGAAACCUCAAGAGUUCCAUGGAUGGAUGGUGUGGUGGUGGCUGAUGGAGCACCUGUGUUUUCUUGGUGUUAAUUGUUAGGCCAAAAUUAGCACAAGCAACAGAGAGUCAAUCCUUGCUGUGUUGUAUCUCAACUUCAGAGGCUGCAUGGAGUGCACACUCAUCUGCAAACAGAAAAUCAUGCACCAGCACUCCCUCCACUUCGGUCUUGGCUUGUAGCCUUUUCAAGUUGAAGAAUUUACCAUCAGUGCAAACUAAAAGGGAACCAAGCAACAAAGAAAUAAAGGGAAUUUUGUGAUGCUGGCCUAGUGUUAU
Molecule: long non-coding RNA, 1202 nt
Filed under: Phascolarctos cinereus (koala)
Lineage: Eukaryota; Metazoa; Chordata; Mammalia; Diprotodontia; Phascolarctidae
Description: lncRNA (ENSPCIG00000031185.1)
Source: RNAcentral